CGACGGGUGAGUAACACGUAUGCAAUCCACCUGUAACAGGGGAUAACCCGGAGAAAUCCGGACUAAUACCCCAUAUAUGGCGCUCCGCAUGGAGAGUCCAUUAAAGAGAGCAAUCUUGGUUACAGACGAGCAUGCGCUCCAUUAGCCAGUUGGCGGGGUAACGGCCCACCAAGGCGACGAUGGAUAGGGGUUCUGAGAGGAAGGUCCCCCACAUUGGAACUGAGACACGGUCCAA
This 235-nucleotide ribosomal RNA is filed under the name uncultured bacterium. RNAcentral describes it as "partial 16S ribosomal RNA". It matches the Rfam family "Bacterial small subunit ribosomal RNA", at positions 102 to 334 of the family's 1533-position model. The record is from RNAcentral.